UAAGCAUAUCAAUAAGCGGAGGAAAAGAAACCAACAGGGAUUGCCCUAGUAACGGCGAGUGAAGCGGCAACAGCUCAAAUUUGAAAUCUGGCCCUCGGGUCCGAGUUGUAAUUUGUAGAGGAUGCUUUUGGCAAGGUGCCUUCCGAGUUCCCUGGAACGGGACGCCAUAGAGGGUGAGAGCCCCGUCUGGUCGGACACCGCGCCUCUGUAAAGCUCCUUCGACGAGUCGAGUAGUUUGGGAAUGCUGCUCUAAAUGGGAGGUAUAUGUCUUCUAAAGCUAAAUAUUGGCCAGAGACCGAUAGCGCACAAGUAGAGUGAUCGAAAGAUGAAAAGCACUUUGAAAAGAGAGUUAAAAAGUACGUGAAAUUGUUGAAAGGGAAGCGAUUAUGACCAGACUUGGGCCUGUUUGAUCAACUUGGGUUCUCCCGGGUGCACUCUCUCAGGCCUAGGCCAGCAUCAGUUCGUCGCGGGGGACAAAGGUCGCGGGAAUGUGGCUCCCCUCGGGGAGUGUUAUAGCCCGUUUCGUAAUACCCUGCGUCGGACUGAGGUUCGCGCAUUUUGCAAGGAUGCUGGCGUAAUGGUCAUCAUCGACCCGUCUUGAAACACGGACCAAGGAGUCGUCUUCGUAUGCGAGUGUUCGGGUGUUAAACCCCUACGCGGAAUGAAAGUGAACGCAGGUGAGAGCUUCGGCGCAUCAUCGACCGAUCCUGAUGUUCUCGGAUGGAUUUGAGUAAGAGCAUACGGAGCCGGACCCGAAAGAAGGUGAACUAUGCCUGUAUAGGGUGAAGUCAGAGGAAACUCUGAUGGAGGCUCGCAGCGGUUCUGACGUGCAAAUCGAUCGUCAAAUAUGGGCAUGGGGGCGAAAGACUAAUCGAACCUUCUAGUAGCUGGUUUCCGCCGAAGU
Molecule: ribosomal RNA, 904 nt
Filed under: Thelonectria veuillotiana
Lineage: Eukaryota; Fungi; Ascomycota; Sordariomycetes; Hypocreales; Nectriaceae
Description: LSU rRNA
Rfam family: Eukaryotic large subunit ribosomal RNA
Source: RNAcentral